Salmo salar (Atlantic salmon) is the source of this 2901-nucleotide long non-coding RNA. RefSeq lists it as uncharacterized. The record is from RefSeq and is a predicted model, not a curated record. NCBI's taxonomy places the organism in Eukaryota, Metazoa, Chordata, Actinopteri, Salmoniformes, Salmonidae.
AAGUGUGCCAUCGCCUCAAUCUUUCAAUUCAACAUUCAGAUGACACCAGAGCAGUUGGAUGUCCUGCUCACAUACUUAGCCUAUGGAUGCUGCAGAAGGUUAUUUGUUAGCUGGUUUGUCUGUUCGUGACAUUGCAGCUCUUUUUGGGGUUGGUGAAAGAACAGUUUGCCAUCGAAUAGCAGGGCAUGGGAUAAGGUGAGUGCACCUGAUAUCUUGCGUCAACAAGACCCCAAACAAAUUGGUGUGUGAAUGUGUCUUGAGGUUAAGGGUAACAUUAGCUGUUUAGAUGUGUAUGUUUUUGUCUGCUACUGUCUUAAAAGCAUGUGGUGACAUCUAGCUGAUGACACUUGCCUUGUCAGGCUUGUUAACUUUGUCUGUAUGAUGAAAUGGCAAUAGUGCAAAGUUAGAUCUAUAACCCGCUCACAGUCUUAUUUGUCUGACAUAUAUGAAAUGUUGUUCUUAAGGUUGUUUCGACUUGUUUAACACCACCAUUGGCAAUGAAGAGUUGGAAGCAAAUUGUGCGUGAAAUCCUCAGUCAUCAUCCAAAUACAGGCUAUAAAAUGAUGUUGGGCCACCUCAACGCUAGAGGUAUACGGAUCGAAUAUCCAGAAAGAGUUCAGAUGCAUACUCUCCAGCUGCAGAAGAUAUUCUGUGCCAGCUCCAAACAGUUUGUGGCAUAUAGAUGGCAACCAUAAACUCAUUAGGUAACCAAACAGGUCUCCAAGCCAUUGUUAAAACCAGCGCCAAAGUCACUGGUGUGACGCUCUGUAUCCAGGCCUCGUUCUACAAGCAAACCCUCAUCAUCUUGGGGGACGUCACCCAUCCCUUCCAUUCACAGUUGAAGUCAUGCCACUGGGGUGGCGCCUGCGCUGCAUUAAGUGCUCUACUAACCGCCACAGAGCAACGUUUAUGCCAGAGGUUUAUUCAACAAGCUGGACGAUGAUCAAGAUGUAUUUGUUAUAUAUUUAUUACUAAUUCACUCAUCAUGUCUAUUUGCAUUACUGUCUUGAAGACUUUGCACUUGUGCAAUGUGUAAAGCCACUGUAAAAUGUCAGUCGAAGAAAAAAGAACACGUCGAUCCAGUGAUUGAAGAGUGCAGAUUCUUUUAACUAUGUUAGAUGGGACCUUUACUAUUCCAGUAAACGAAACAAUGGAAUUUCUUUAUUACAGAUGGCGAUUUGUAGUUCAUGGUGGCAUUGACGGUUUUAGCCGUCUAAUCGUGUACCUCAGCGCCGCCUCAACAGUGCUGAAUAGCUUCCUUGGAGCAGUCUAUGGAGUGCAAUCACACGUUAGGUCUGACGAAGGAGGAGAAAAUGUUCAAGUGGCACACUUCAUGGUGUCCACCAGAUGCCUAAACAGGGAAUUCCCAUCUCACUGGUAGAAGUACACACAACCAGAGGAUAGAACGAUUGUGGAGGGAUGUCUUUGGAGGAGUGUUGGACCUCUUCUAUACUUCUAUCUGCAACCUGGAGAGGGAGGGUCUACUCAACCUAGAUGAAGAGAUCCACAUCUAUGCCCUCCACUGGAGCUUCCUUCCACAAAUCCAAAAGCACCUGCAGUUCUUCAAGGACGGCUGGAACCACCAUCGACUGCGCUCUGAGGGGAAUCAGUCACGACUGCAGCUAUGGAUUCAGAAUCAACGUGAGGGAUAUCAUGACCCGUCCAGGUUGACAUGGAAUACGGCAUUGACUGGGGAGGUCCUUAUGGUCACCAUCAUGAAGGAGUCACAGUCCCUGAGGUUCAGCUUCCACGGCCAUUGACUGGCAUGGAAGUGCACACAUUGCCAGAGGUUCUUUUUCCAGUGUCUAUAGUGAGACAGUUGCCAUAUUAUCAGAUAUAAUUGGAGAUGUUUAAAAGCCCGGGUCUGAGAAUUGAAUUGAUUUUAGUAUUUGGAUUAGUCGCACUAUGUCCAAGAGAAUUUCAAGUGCUGAUAGAUUCCAUGUAACAGCAAAUGCUGUUUGAGCUGUUUUGGCAGUUCUCACUGAGUCAUUCACACUGAGGGCAGGUCGGAGUCUGGGAGUCCCCCAUCUGGGGUGCAAUUGACUGCAAAUAACAUGCAAUUGACUGAUAAGCCAUCUAUUAUGAUACAAACAAACUGAUUUCUGACAAAAAAAAUAAGUUGGCUUUAGCUAAAGAAGGUUAUUUACAAAAACAAUGGUAAUUUGAACAAUUGAGUGCCACUCAUUCAAACUCAUCAUUCAACAAGCAAAACACUGCAAUAAGAAACUACAAGCUGAACGGUGAGUCAAGAUGGUCCUCUGUAAAAUGUGUUGUAUAUGGCUGAUUUAGUUCCAAAGCAUUUUACCUCCCAAAAGAAUGAGUGAAUGUGACGUAAAAUCAAUCAUUGAUUGUCUGACAACUUGUCUAGCUUGUAUUCAUUUGCCGAAGUGCUUUACUUUAGAUGCUGUUCUGUGAAAACUGUCAUCAGCAUUUUUGAGUUUGUCUUUGAAAAUCGGGAUUUAAAUCCAAAGGACAACAAGGAGGAAGCAUGGUAAACAAACAUUACUGAUGUUUACUUGUGGAGCCUUUAGAAAAGGGUGUUCAAUAACCGCUCAAUUCUGUUCUUUAAUUUGAAUUUGUACAGUUUGCCCUGUCACCAUUGACUGUCUCAGUAAAACUGAGGUGAGAAACGGUCAAUAAUAAGACAUGCUGCUGUCUUUUACACUAGUGAGCAGACAGACCGUCUGAGCAGUUCAACUAAAGAGUAUAACUAAAAGUGUCACUUCAACUUCAGCUGAAUGUAUUCUUCAUGACUGUUUCAAAAAAUGUCUUUCUGGUGAUGUACGUCUAACUACCAAUCAUGAGACAAGCAAAUUCAAAAUACCACCCUCCCAACGACCAUCACGCACUGUAAUGACCAUUGUACCGGCACCCCCCUGUAUAUAUUGUUAUUUUUUUUUA